GGACCAUGGCUCAGUGGUAGAGUAUCUUCUUGGUACAGAAGAUCUUAGGUUCAGUCCCCAACAUCUCUA
RNAcentral lists this transfer RNA (69 nucleotides) under Sphaerodactylus townsendi. RNAcentral describes it as "tRNA-Pro". The record is from RNAcentral. Lineage: Eukaryota; Metazoa; Chordata; Lepidosauria; Squamata; Sphaerodactylidae.